Molecule: small RNA, 89 nt
Filed under: Lutibacter agarilyticus
Lineage: Bacteria; Pseudomonadati; Bacteroidota; Flavobacteriia; Flavobacteriales; Flavobacteriaceae
Description: Lutibacter sp. KYW566 Flavo-1 RNA
Rfam family: Flavo-1 RNA
Source: Rfam by way of RNAcentral
UUUGCGUUAGGGAUAGCAGCGACAUCCUUUUUUUGAAAUGUAACGAAGUGGAAUUACAACAAAAGAUACAGCGGAAAGCCCGACCUGCA